This 242-nucleotide ribosomal RNA is filed under the name uncultured bacterium. RNAcentral describes it as "partial 16S ribosomal RNA". It matches the Rfam family "Bacterial small subunit ribosomal RNA", at positions 524 to 765 of the family's 1533-position model. The record is from RNAcentral.
UACGGAGGGAGCUAGCGUUAUUCGGAAUUACUGGGCGUAAAGCGCACGUAGGCGGCUUUGUAAGUUAGAGGUGAAAGCCUGGAGCUCAACUCCAGAAUUGCCUUUGAUACUGCAUGGCUUGAAUCCAGGAGAGGUGAGUGGAAUUCCGAGUGUAGAGGUGAAAUUCGUAGAUAUUCGGAAGAACACCAGUGGCGAAGGCGGCUCACUGGACUGGUAUUGACGCUGAGGUGCGAAAGCGUGGG